GAUCAAAGUGUAGUAUCUGUUCUUAUCAGCUUAAUAUCUGAUACGACUUCUACCAGGAGUCAAGAUAUUAAACUUAUUUUUGGUAUGAGGUGGAGAGACUGAGGCUUGCCUCACCUCCACCAAGGGUCGGC
Molecule: small nuclear RNA, 131 nt
Filed under: Heterocranaus sp. DNA101443
Lineage: Eukaryota; Metazoa; Arthropoda; Arachnida; Opiliones; Cranaidae
Description: partial U2 snRNA
Rfam family: U2 spliceosomal RNA
About the family: U2 is a small nuclear RNA (snRNA) component of the spliceosome (involved in pre-mRNA splicing).
Source: RNAcentral